UACGUAGGGGGCUAGCGUUGUUCGGAAUUACUGGGCGUAAAGCGCACGUAGGCGGAUAUUUAAGUCAGGGGUGAAAUCCCAGAGCUCAACUCUGGAACUGCCUUUGAUACUGGGUAUCUUGAGUAUGGAAGAGGUAAGUGGAAUUGCGAGUGUAGAGGUGAAAUUCGUAGAUAUUCGCAGGAACACCAGUGGCGAAGGCGGCUUACUGGUCCAUAACUGACGCUGAGGUGCGAAAGCGUGGGGAGCAAACAGG
Molecule: ribosomal RNA, 253 nt
Filed under: uncultured bacterium
Lineage: Bacteria
Description: partial 16S ribosomal RNA
Rfam family: Bacterial small subunit ribosomal RNA
Source: RNAcentral